AUUGAACGCUGGCGGCAGGCCUAACACAUGCAAGUCGAGCGGAUGAAGGGAGCUUGCUCCUGGAUUCAGCGGCGGACGGGUGUGUAAUGCCUAUGAAUCUGCCUGGUAGUGGGGGAUAACGUCCGGAAACGGGCGCUAAUACCGCAUACGUCCUGAGGGAGAAAGUGGGGGAUCUUCGGACCUCACGCUAUCAGAUGAGCCUAGGUCGGAUUAGCUAGUUGGUGGGGUAAAGGCCUACCAAGGCGACGAUCCGUAACUGGUCUGAGAGGAUGAUCAGUCACACUGGAAUUGAGACACGGUCCAGACUCCUACGGGAGGCAGCAGUGGGGAAUAUUGGACAAUGGGCGAAAGCCUGAUCCAGCCAUGCCGCGUGUGUGAAGAAGGUCUUCGGAUUGUAAAGCACUUUAAGUUGGGAGGAAGGGCAGUAAGUUAAUACCUUGCUGUUUUGACGUUACCAACAGAAUAAGCACCGGCUAACUUCGUG
RNAcentral lists this ribosomal RNA (484 nucleotides) under uncultured bacterium. Its description in RNAcentral is "partial 16S ribosomal RNA". It matches the Rfam family "Bacterial small subunit ribosomal RNA", at positions 30 to 507 of the family's 1533-position model. The record is from RNAcentral.